This 770-nucleotide ribosomal RNA is filed under the name uncultured bacterium. Its description in RNAcentral is "bacterial SSU rRNA". It matches the Rfam family "Bacterial small subunit ribosomal RNA", at positions 8 to 796 of the family's 1533-position model. The record is from RNAcentral.
AGAGUUUGAUCAUGGCUCAGGACGAACGCUGGCGGCGCGCCUAAUACAUGCAAGUCGAGCGAGAACCAGGGCUUGCCCUGGGGAGAGCGGCGAACGGGUGCGUAUCACGUGAGCAACCUGCCUCAGAGACCGGGAUAACUCGAGGAAACUCGGGCUAAUACCGGAUGCCCUCGUUGGACCGCAUGGCCCGGCGAGGAAAUGGAUUCCGCUCUGAGAUGGGCUCGCGGCCUAUCAGCUUGUUGGUGGGGUAACGGCCUACCAAGGCAACGACGGGUAGCUGGUCUGAGAGGACGAUCAGCCACACUGGGACUGAGACACGGCCCAGACUCCUACGGGAGGCAGCAGUAGGGAAUCUUGCGCAAUGGGGGAAACCCUGACGCAGCGACGCCGCGUGCGGGAUGAAGGCCUUCGGGUCGUAAACCGCUUUCAGCAGGGACGAAAUUGACGGUACCUGCAGAAGAAGGCCCGGCCAACUACGUGCCAGCAGCCGCGGUGAUACGUAGGGGUCUAGCGUUGUCCGGAAUCAUUGGGCGUAAAGAGCUCGUAGGCGGUUCGAUUAGUCGGGUGUGAAAUCUCCACGCUCAACGUGGAGGGGCCACUCGAUACUGUCGUGACUCGAGUCCGGUAGGGGAGUUCGGAAUUCCCGGUGUAGCGGUGAAAUGCGCAGAUAUCGGGAGGAACACCAGUGGCGAAGGCGGAACUCUGGGCCGGAACUGACGCUGAGGAGCGAAAGCGUGGGGAGCGAACAGGAUUAGAUACCCUAGUAGUCC